UGCAGGUGAAACUAGUUAAGAUGAAGUCAUGCUGGAGUAGGGUGGGACCUUAAUCCAAUAAGUCUGGUGUCCGUAUAAGAAGACACAGACACACAGAGGGAUGAUGGCCACCCACAGAGGACAAAGGCAGAGACUGGAGUGAUGCAGCUGCAAGCCAAAGAACGCCAAGGACUGAUGGUCACCACCAGCAGCUAGGAAAAGCCCCCCAAUACAGUUGUAUAUUCUAGUCAUAGGUCCUUCUAGUUGUGGCAUGUGUGACGCCGCCUCAGCAUAGCUUGAUGAGUGAUGCCAUGUCCGCGCCCAGGAUGCAAACUGGCGAAACCCUGGGCUGCCGAAGCAGAGACCGUGAACUUAACCACUCGGCCACAGGACUGGCCCCUACAACUUUGCUUAAUUCAUUAACUCCAGUACGUUUUUGUUUUUGGUGUUUGUGUAUCUAUGGGAUUUUCUCUAUAUAGAAUCAUGUCAUCUGCAAAUGGAGAUAGUUUCUCUUUUCCUUUCCAAUUCAGAUGCCUUUUACUUCUUUUUCUGGCCUAAUUGCUCUGGCUAGGACUUCCAGUACAUGUCGAAUAGCAGAGGCGAAAGCAAGAAUCCUUGCCUUGUUCCUCUUAAGGGGAAGCUUUCUGUUUUUCACCAAUGAGUGUUAGCUGUGGGUUUUUCAUAAAUGUCCCUUAUCGUGUUCAAGAAGUUCCUUCUAUUCCUAGCUUAGUGUUUUUAUUAUGCAAUGGCCUUGAAUUUUGUCAAAUGCUUUUCCCACAUCUCUUGAGAUGAUUAUGCCCCCCGCCCCGUUCUAUUUCUAUUAAUGGGGUGUACUGCAUUGAUUGAUUUCCUUAUGUUGAAUGACCCUUGCAUUCCUGAGACAAAUCCGACCCGGUCACGAUGGAUGAUACUUAGAAUGAGCUGCUGGAUUCAGUUUGUUAGUUAGUAUUUUGUUGAUUAUUUUUGUGUCUAUAUUCAUAGGAGAUGAUGGUGUUUUCUUUUCUUGUGAUGUCUUUGUCUGGCUUUGCUACCAGGGUAAUAACGGCCUCACAGAAGGUGUCAGAAAGUAUUCCCUUUUCUAUUUUUGGGGAAAAGUUUGAAUAGGAUUGGUGUUAAUUCUUUAAAUAUUUGUUAGAAUUCAUCAGACCUGUGUGACCUUGGAUUAGGCAAUGGUUUCUUGUUUUUUUUUUUUUUUUUUUUUUGAGGAAGAUCAGCCCUGAGCUAACUGCUGCCAAUCCUUUGUGCUGAGGAAGACUGGCCCUGAGCUCACAUCCGUGCCCAUCUUCCUCUACUUUACAUGUGGGACACUUUUUGCCGAGCGGAGCCAUGUCUGCACCAGGUAUCAGAACUGGGCCGCCGAAGCAGAACGUGUGCACUUAACUGCUGCACCACUGGGCCAGCCCGGCAACGGUUUCUUAAAUAUGACCCUUAUAUGUAACAAUCAAAGAAAAAAUAAAUUGGACUCGAUCAAAAUUCAAAUCUUUUGUGUCAAAGA
Molecule: long non-coding RNA, 1474 nt
Filed under: Equus asinus (donkey)
Lineage: Eukaryota; Metazoa; Chordata; Mammalia; Perissodactyla; Equidae
Description: lncRNA (ENSEASG00005036153.1)
Source: RNAcentral